UUUAGGCAAUGAUAUAUUGGGAGGAUAAACCGGUGAGUUUUUCUUUCUCAUUCUCUACUUCUAUCAUGUGAAGAGAAGGAGAAGGAGAAAAAGGGAAGACGUUGAAGAGAAAAAAGCUCAUGAAAUGAAGAGGAGAAGAAUAAAGGAUGGAGAAGAAUGAGGUUCUACAACAACUCAAGCUUGAAUCUAAAGAGGGAAAAGGAGAUUUGAGGGAAAAUAGAGCUUAUUUCUGAAAAAUGUCUAAGAGAUUGGGAGGUCUUUUUUAGAUUAAGCAUCUAAAUACUUGAGUACAAGAUUUCAGAAUUUCAGAUGUAGAUCAAUGCUAUAAGACCGGAAAGAAACCAGCCGUAUGGAUUUCUCAAUAGAAAUGUACAAUUUUAAGGGAUUUGAAUUAUAAGUAUUGCCACCAAGGGAAGAUCCUGACAAUUUGAUGUAAUAGAACUUUGUAAUAUUAAUAAACAUUUAAUCCUUAUGGAGGA
Macadamia integrifolia is the source of this 479-nucleotide long non-coding RNA. RefSeq lists it as uncharacterized. The record is from RefSeq and is a predicted model, not a curated record. Lineage: Eukaryota; Viridiplantae; Streptophyta; Magnoliopsida; Proteales; Proteaceae. The transcript has 2 exons.